Long non-coding RNA from Alosa sapidissima (American shad), 801 nucleotides. RefSeq lists it as uncharacterized. Lineage: Eukaryota; Metazoa; Chordata; Actinopteri; Clupeiformes; Clupeidae. The record is from RefSeq and is a predicted model, not a curated record. The transcript has 3 exons.
GAGCAAGUCACACAUGAAGUGUUGUGUUGUUAGCUGCACAGAACAACACAAAUCCUUGCACUUUCUCCCAGCCUAAGAGAACAGAAGAACCGAGUGGCUCCAUUUCAUUUUCGAUGGCCAUGUUCCAGCAACAGUCAGCAAAAAUCUUGUGUGUGCGAACCACUUCAAGACAGACUGCUUUGAAAACCUAGGACAGUACACUGAGGGAUUAGCCAUCAAACUUCGUUUGACAGAGGGAUCUGUACCUACUGUCCGUGGCAAGUCACAAGAUAAGAAACAUACUCUACCUGGCUGCUCUGCAUUACAAUGAGGAUGCUGCAUGAGACCAGGCCACCUUAUCCUCUGGGGACCCUCUCUACAGGAUGCAUUUCCCAAAGUACAGGAAGGGAGAGUGCAGGGUGAAACCCAUCAAAACCGAGACAACAUUCCGGUAUGUGGAAGACUUGAUGGGCUUCAUCAUGGGCGAGGUCUUUGUGGACCAAGAAGCAUACAGGGAGGAACUCCUGAAAAUAAACAUUUCUCCGGACCUGUCCUCAGAGUUUGAGCACCCAGAGAAGGAGGAGGUGAUCGCCAACUAUGUGUCUCGCUUCAAUCCAGGGGAGGCAGUUUGAAGCCCACAUAUUGUCCUUGGCUGUCAGGAAACUCCCGACGAACACGCAGGACCACACAUGACGGGAUGACGACCCUUAUUCUGCAUCCAAGGAAUCCCCAACACCAACUGACAAAACUCCUGUAGGCAAGCUAUCUGUAACGACUAAAAAAAAUAAAUAAAAAAAAAACAUUGCAGUAGUUAGCAGGUUA